AGAACUUUGAAGAGAGAGUUAAAAAGUACGUGAAACCGUUCAGGGGUAAACCUGAGAAACCCGAAAGUUCGAAAGGGGAGAUUCAUCGUCAACGUCGGUGGGUUGCCGUGCGGCACGUGAUGUUCGGGAUCUCGAUCUCGUGCACACUGCUGCUGCGGCUAAUUCCGCCUCGUCGGCGUGCACUUCUCCCCUAGUAGGACGUCGCGACCCGUUGGGUGCUCAUCCUUACGGCCGGGGUUGUCGCCUGUCCGCGCCGUCGCAAGACGCACGCGCGGCAGACCUCCCGAUGGUCCGGUGAGCUGCCCGACGGUAGAAUACGAUAGACUCUGGUAAUGAGCCGCAAUAAAUGCGUUCAGGCACGUAGGCGGGUGAGUCUCGUUCGGUGUAUCGGACCUAGUGCCGUGCGCUGGGCUCGGCUUGCCUCGAUCCGACGUUGUUCUCGGACAGGCUCUGCACAUUCGUUUACGGAUGUACCGGUCUGCGACGCUUUUGCUUUGGGUACUUUCAGGACCCGUCUUG
This 519-nucleotide ribosomal RNA is filed under the name Cleruchus sp. 1 PFRJ-2022c. RNAcentral's name for it is "partial large subunit ribosomal RNA". Lineage: Eukaryota; Metazoa; Arthropoda; Insecta; Hymenoptera; Mymaridae. The record is from RNAcentral.